This 20-nucleotide small nuclear RNA is filed under the name Arabidopsis thaliana (thale cress). RNAcentral's name for it is "snRNA_06670". The record is from RNAcentral. Lineage: Eukaryota; Viridiplantae; Streptophyta; Magnoliopsida; Brassicales; Brassicaceae.
ACUUAAACAAAAACAUCAAA